UUGGAGGGCAAGUCUGGUGCCAGCAGCCGCGGUAAUUCCAGCUCCAAUAGCGUAUAUUAAAGUUGUUGCAGUUAAAAAGCUCGUAGUUGAACUUCGGGGUCUACCCAUUGGUCAGGCUUAAUUGUCUGUACUGGUGAGGUGGAUCUCUACCUUCUGAGGAACUUUCAUGCCAUUUAUUUGGUGUGGUUGGAAAUCAGGACUGUUACUUUGAAAAAAUUAGAGUGUUUAAAGCAGACUAUCGUCUGAAUACAUUAGCAUGGAAUAAUGAAAUAGGACGGACUGAUUCUAUUUCGUUGGUUUCUAGGAUCACCGUAAUGAUUAAUAGGGAUAGUUGGGGGCAUUAGUAUUCAAUUGUCAGAGGUGAAAUUCUUGGAUUUAUUGAAGACUAACUACUGCGAAAGCAUUUGCCAAGGAUGUUUUCAUUAAUCAAGAACGAAAGUUAGGGGAUCGAAGACGAUCAGAUACCGUCGUAGUCUUAACCAUAAACUAUGCCGACUAGGGAUCGGACGAAGUUAAUUUUAUAAUGACGCGUUCGGCACCUUACGGGAAACCAAAGUGUUUGGGUUC
This 567-nucleotide ribosomal RNA is filed under the name uncultured Diversispora. RNAcentral describes it as "SSU rRNA". It matches the Rfam family "Eukaryotic small subunit ribosomal RNA", at positions 548 to 1114 of the family's 1831-position model. Lineage: Eukaryota; Fungi; Glomeromycota; Glomeromycetes; Diversisporales; Diversisporaceae. The record is from RNAcentral.